AUACGUAGGGGGCGAGCGUUGUCCGGAAUGAUUGGGCGUAAAGGGCGCGUAGGCGGCCCGGUAAGUCUGGAGUGAAAGUCCUGCUUUUAAGGUGGGAAUUGCUUUGGAUACUGUCGGGCUUGAGUGCAGGAGAGGUAAGUGGAAUUCCCAGUGUAGCGGUGAAAUGCGUAGAGAUUGGGAGGAACACCAGUGGCGAAGGCGACUUACUGGACUGUAACUGACGCGGAGGCGCGAAAGUGUGGGGAGCAAACAGGAUUAGAUACCCUGGUAGUCCACACCGUAAACGAUGAAUGCUAGGUGUAGGGGGUAUCGACCCCUCCUGUGCCGCAGUUAACACAAUAAGCAUUCCGCCUGGGGAGUACGGCCGCAAGGUUGAAACUCAAAGGAAUUGACGGGG
Molecule: ribosomal RNA, 397 nt
Filed under: uncultured bacterium
Lineage: Bacteria
Description: partial 16S ribosomal RNA
Rfam family: Bacterial small subunit ribosomal RNA
Source: RNAcentral